This 253-nucleotide ribosomal RNA is filed under the name uncultured bacterium. RNAcentral describes it as "partial 16S ribosomal RNA". It matches the Rfam family "Bacterial small subunit ribosomal RNA", at positions 524 to 776 of the family's 1533-position model. The record is from RNAcentral.
UACGGAGGGUGCGAGCGUUGUCCGGAAUCAUUGGGCGUAAAGGGCGCGUAGGUGGCCCGGUCAGUCCGUGGUGAAAGCGCGGGGCUCAACCCCGCGUCGGCCAUGGAUACUGCUGGGCUUGAGCACUGUAGAGGCAGGCGGAAUUCCGGGUGUAGCGGUGGAAUGCGUAGAGAUCCGGAAGAACACCGGUGGCGAAGGCGGCCUGCUGGGCAGUGGCUGACACUGAGGCGCGACAGCGUGGGGAACAAACAGG